GAUUCCUACCACGGUAUGCGUUCUUAGUUCUCUUGAGGAUGGUGUGGGACUUCAUUGGCCACUUUUCCCACCGCCACCACCCCCGUGGGGAGACUACUGGCUUUUGUAUUUAGCAUUUACUCCUCAGUUGCUCUCCCCUACCUGGAAGUUGCUAUGGGCAAUCACUGGUGGAACGACACAGCUGAAACUUGUUCUCUAAAAGGCAGCCUGUAAAUCUGGCAUGACACAUGCAAGGGGCUUUCUUCGUAGUAAACACUCUUAGCGUUUCCUUGCGGUGUCUCUGAAGUGCCGCUUACACGGCGCUCAUGCAAUAUCACCUUUUGCAGGCUGGCGUCCUUAGCUCACACUGUGGCAAACCUGAUGGGACACCUUGGGCUAGGCAAUUUGCACAGCCGUAAAGCCGCACACUCACACAGCUAGAGCUAAACGGAAACACAUGCAAAAACUGUCACGAAUCAGCUUCUCUUCUUUCAUGGUCACUAUUCUGUACGUCUUCUAGGUGCUGGAAAAAAUCAGCCAACUUUUGGAGACAGACUCCCUUACCAAGAUCCAAGAAUGGUUUGGAAGGGCAAGUAAACAAGAGAAAGACUUUGUGUUCAGUCUGGUGGAUUGAGAACUGACUGAGAAAGACGUGCUGAAAUCUGAGGAAGGUGCAGCAGAGAACAUCAACAGCCCGACUGCUGAAGCCUCUCCCCCCACAUCGGAGAAGCCUAGACGGGGAAAUGACUCCGGCCACGUAAAACCUGCAGGGAGGUUGCCACAAUGAUGGAUAAGCUAAACCCCACAACCAGAAAUUUUUGGGUUCUCCUGCUAUGGAAAAGGUAACUUUGUGAUUGAAGUUGAUCACGGCCAGCCUUCGGCAAAAAUGCUCCUAAGUACAAGCCACACCAGGCGAUUUGAUACAAGUUUGAUACAAGUACCAAGUUUUAGCAGCACUGGAAACCCCUUGGAGAGCAACCUCCUUUUACAUUGCGGUGCACAGUUUAUACCUACAAAGAUCACAGGGGACUGGACCAUCUCCCUUAUGAGGACAGGCUGACAGAGAUGCACCUGUGUAGCCUGGGGAAGAGUGAGAGUGCAUCUCCUCAGUGCAUAUAAAUAUCUUAAGGGCAAGUGUCAAGAGGAUGGGGCCAGGCUCUUUUCAGUGGUGCCCAGCGUCAGGACAAGGGGCGACGGGCGCCAACUGAAACACAGGAAAUUCCAUCCGAGUGUGAGGGAAAACGUCUUCACUUGGAGGGUGUCGGAGCCCUGGCACAGGCUGCCCAGAGAGGCUGUGCAGUCUCCUUCCCUGGAGAUACUCAAACCCCACCUGGACGCGACCCUGUGCAACCCGCUCUAGGCAAACCGGCUUUAGCAGGGGGUUGCACGACAUGGCCUGCACAGGUCCCUUCCAACCCCAGCCGUUCUGUGAGCCUGUGACAUUCUGAGAUCUGCUCCUGUAAGUUACACGCAAGCUGCAACCCCCUCUGCCAGCAAACUAUGGCAUUCGCCCUCAUCUAACAUCUCGCCCUCGCUCUCUGCAGGCUACGUCAGGCUUUCUCAGACCGUUCCAGCUACCAAAGCCCACUCUUGCACCCUCUACCCAGUCAGGGCAAGCCAAAAAUAGUGGCGCUGCCAAGGAACGCCACUGUCACCUCUUUGUGCCCCUUCUGAAGCACACAGAGGCAACACAAGCCAGUCCCAGCGUACGUGAUCAUUUUAACAAAGCCACUCAUGCCAGCUCUGACGCUGCCAGCAUUUACUAUUGCUUGGAACUCAGCUGGAGGAGAGGGUGAAGAGUAAUCUUACCUAAGAACUAGAAGGAGGAAGAGGAAACCUCCAAAGCAAGCACCUCUGCUUUUCCACAGUGGUGCCCAGUGAGGCUUCUUUGCCAAAGAGCAGAUGUGCUUCUAUACUCUCAGCUGCGUACCGAACAAAGCCAAACGAGUCUAACAUCAUCCUAAGCCUAGCCUGGUAAUAUACAGCUUGCUUUUCCAAAAUGUCUUCCAGAAAGGGAGAAAGAACAUCUUUUGUUUGCAACGCUGAGAAAGAGAGGUCCAGCACAAGCAGACACGCUCUUCCCAGGGAAGAGCUACAGCUGAGAAAGUGUGGUGGAAACAAGAGGCCGUCCUGCCCUCACGCUCUACCAGAAAUCUCACCUGUACCACGGCUGCCCCCAAACCACGGAUAUCCCUUUUCCAGCAGAGGCCUCCCCUAUUCACAGCCGCUGCAGCAUCUCCCAGCCACCUUCACAUACAGAAAUAUGUGAUCUGAGCACUUAGAUUAUAAAGACAGGCGUUCAGACUUCCUAAUAAAACAAUUUGAUGUUCAUUGUA
This is a long non-coding RNA of Falco peregrinus (peregrine falcon), 2315 nucleotides long. RefSeq lists it as uncharacterized. The transcript is spliced from 2 exons. NCBI's taxonomy places the organism in Eukaryota, Metazoa, Chordata, Aves, Falconiformes, Falconidae. The record is from RefSeq and is a predicted model, not a curated record.